UACAGAGGGUGCGAACGUUGCUCGGAAUCACUGGGCGUAAAGCGCGUGUAGGCGGGUGAUCAAGUCAGGUGUGAAAUCCCUGGGCUCAACCCAGGAACUGCAUCUGAAACUGGUCGUCUUGAGUACUGGAGAGGGAAGCGGAAUUCCUGGUGUAGAGGUGAAAUUCGUAGAUAUCAGGAGGAACACCGGUGGCGAAGGCGGCUUCCUGGACAGUCACUGACGCUGAGACGCGAAAGCAUGGGGAGCAAACAGGAUUAGAAAC
RNAcentral lists this ribosomal RNA (262 nucleotides) under uncultured bacterium. Its description in RNAcentral is "partial 16S ribosomal RNA". It matches the Rfam family "Bacterial small subunit ribosomal RNA", at positions 524 to 785 of the family's 1533-position model. The record is from RNAcentral.